UAUGCUACCGUGGCUCCGAACAUUUCAGUGCUGCCUGGAUCUGCCCUGUAGGGGCUCAUUUCUCUCCUCACAUGGCUGGGGCGUUCUGGCAUCCUGGGUCCUCCCACAGCCCCGCCCACCGCCUUCUGAGACUGCGCUGAGCCGCUGGGCCCCGCCUGCCUGCAGCGCGCGCCGCACUUCCGGCGGGUCCGCCCACUUCCCAUGCAGGAGGAAGGGUGAGGGAGCCAGGGUGAUAGAGAAUGUCGUGAAAUACAGACUCUAGAGCAAAGUUAUUCAAGGUCGUGGGCUGGAGGAGGCCUUUUGGCUCGGACCUGAGCAGAAGCUUUGUAGCAGAGCAAUAUGCUGCUAUUCUACAGAACACUACGCCAGUUUCCUUCACUGAAGGGGUUUUCUGGAAAUUAAGGCAGUGUUCUUGGACAAAAAAAUCUAAAACCACUUUAUAACCAGACUUCACCUUCACCUUUUGUAGUAACAGUCUGGUGGUUCUCAAGGGCAGCUUCCUUCCAAGUUGUGGGAUCCAGGUGGCUUGCCUCAUGAAGAAACACUGCCUAGCUUUCAGGCACCAAAUAUCACUGGUCAAGAGAAAUUCCAGAAUUCUGCUGGCAGGUACUAUGAAAUCCUUUACCCUACGAGUGUGGGGAGUUGGUGAUUAAGCUCCUAGAGUUGCUCUUGAAUCUGAGGGUCCCAGACCCCACUUAUCAUGAGAUUUAAUGGCUACCAUGCUGAACAACACCACUCUAGGCAGAGAAACCAGCAUGAGCAGAUGCACUGAAGAUUGGGAGCAUAUGGGAACUUGCUUUGGAGAUGGCCACUUCUCUGGUCUGACAGGAACAAUGUUAAAUGAUAAAGUAUAAGGUUUUUCAGCUCCUGCUCCAUGAAAGGAAAGCUGGGAGGUCAGGAUAAGGAGACUGUCUUGUCUCCACCCCAUUCCCAAAUGCCCACAUGAGCGAGAGACACAGGAGAACCAGAAUUGUCUAUAAGAUGAAAAUGUAGCUAUUGGGACUCAAACUUCAAGGAAAGCCCAAGAACUGGGGAAAGAUCCAAUGCCAAAUGUUUGACAGAUAAGUACCUUAUAAAUAACCCUUUAAUAUUAAAAAUACAAUAUUUUUAAUACAGCCCAGAAGAUAAUGAAACAAUCUCUCCCCUUUAAAAUUAAAGGGGAGGGGCGCCUGGGUGGCUGAGUCAGAUGAGCAUCUGACUUCAGCUGAGGUCAUGAUCUCACAGUUGGUGAGUUCAAGCCCCACGUCAGGCUCUGUGCUGUAUUAAUGUAGAGCCUGCUUGGAAGUCUCUCUCCCUCUCUCUCUGUCCCUUCCCGACUUGCUCUCAAUAAAUAAACAAACAAACAAACUUUUAAAAUAUAUAAAAAAGGGGAACACUUACUAUUUAAAGGGAAAAUCAUUUAUUUUAUUCCAAUAAAAUCCAUGGAAUCUGUUAGCAUUCUGAGUGCAGAAGAGAGGUAUGGAUUGAAUUUAAGUGUUGUCGUCAAUACGUAAAGUGUUGCUUUGUAGAGGAUAAUGACUGGUUCUUUUUAUUCUGCACUUAAGUCAUGGAUGAAACCUGAGUUUACAUUAAGGUGUGAGGGUGUGACAGAAGAUACAGAAAAGAAUUUCUCGAGCAUUUGUGCUAUUGCAAAUCAGAGUAAGGUAUUAUUGGAGGCUAUGUCCUAUUCCUUUGCCAGUUUACAUCAAAGAAUAAUUUCUUAUCCGCUAUGGUUUAAGUAUGAUUCAAGAAGGUUGGGUCAGAUUAUAUUUCAAGCUUCUUAAUAGUUCUUUAAAAUAAUUCUUAGCCGUGUUAAGGCUUCUUGGGGAAAUGUUGAUGUUUAGGCUUUCCUCCAUGAAAAACACUGACAAACAAUAUCCAGAAAUGGUUAGGCUUCUUGCAUUAAAACACACUUGUAAAAGCAUAUGUUUUCCAUACACUUUUAUUUAUCUUUCUCAUCCAUUAGGCUACUGUCAACAGAGGUACUAGCAUAUCAGUGUGUGUGUGUGUGUGUGUGUGUGUGUGUGUGUAUAAUUUUCUUUUGGAUGUAAGAUAAUGAGGUGCUGUGUGAAGAGGGUUGUCAGUGGAAAAAAUCAAUGAUAGUUUAUGUUUGGUAAUACAUAAGAGGAUGUUGAACAUACUGCUGAUGACCUUGGAAAUUGCUUUGUUCUUAGGUUAUAUAUGUUAGUUUUAUUUAGUAAUGAUAUUCUUAAAAUAUGAAAAUGGAAACUGACAAAUAAGAAUGGAAUUGGGGUGCCUGGGUGGCUCAGUUGGUUGAGCGUCCGACUUCAGCUCAGG
Molecule: long non-coding RNA, 2277 nt
Organism: Felis catus (domestic cat)
Lineage: Eukaryota; Metazoa; Chordata; Mammalia; Carnivora; Felidae
Exons: 7
Source: RefSeq, a predicted model, not a curated record